AUACGUAGGUGGCGAGCGUUAUCCGGAAUUACUGGGUGUAAAGGGCGCGUAGGCGGGUAUGCAAGUUGGAUGUGAAAUUCCGGGGCUUAACUCCGGAUUGUCAUCUAAAACUGUGUAUCUUGAGUGUCAGAGGGGAAAGUGGAAUUCCUAGUGGAGUGGUAAAAUGCGUAGAUAUUAGGAGGAACAUCGGUGGCGAAGGCGACUUUCUGGCUGACAACUGACGCUGAGGCGCGAAAGCGUGGGUAGCGAACAGGAUUAGAUACCCUGGUAGUCCACGCAGUAAACGAUGAUUACUUGCUGUUUGCGAUACACUGUAAGCGGCGUAGCGAAAGCGUUAAGUAAUCCACCUGGGGAGUACGUUCGCAAGAAUGAA
Molecule: ribosomal RNA, 373 nt
Filed under: uncultured bacterium
Lineage: Bacteria
Description: bacterial SSU rRNA
Rfam family: Bacterial small subunit ribosomal RNA
Source: RNAcentral